This 1321-nucleotide ribosomal RNA is filed under the name human gut metagenome. RNAcentral's name for it is "bacterial LSU rRNA". It matches the Rfam family "Bacterial large subunit ribosomal RNA", at positions 682 to 2025 of the family's 2925-position model. The record is from RNAcentral.
UCUUAACUGGGCGUCUAGUAUGUUAAUGCAGACCCGAAACCGGGUGACCUAUCCAUGGGCAGGUUGAAGUUACCGUAAAAGGUAAUGGAGGACCGAACUCACAUCUGUUGAAAAAGGUGGAGAUGACCUGUGGAUAGCGGAGAAAUUCCAAUCGAACUCGGAGAUAGCUGGUUCUCCUCGAAAUAGCUUUAGGGCUAGCCUUGAGGUAAAGUCUAAUGGAGGUAAAGCACUGAUUGGACGCGGGUCCCCAAAAGGAUACCAACUUCUAUCAAACUCAGAAUGCCAUAUAGAUAUACUCAGGAGUCAGACUAUGUGAGAUAAGUUUCAUAGUCAAAAGGGAAAGAGCCCAGACCGACAGCUAAGGUCCCAAAGUGUGUGUUAAGUGGAAAAGGAUGUUAGGUUUCUAAGACAACUAGGAUGUUGGCUCAGAAGCAGCCACUCAUUUAAAGAGUGCGUAACAGCUCACUAGUCGAGAGGUCUAGCGCCGAAAAUGUCCGGGGCUAAAACACACCACCGAAGCUACGGAAUUACCUAUGGUAAUUGGUAGAGGAGCAUUCUGUAAGGAUGAAGCACAAUUGAAAGAGAGUGUGGACGAAACAGAAGAGAGAAUGCCGGAAUGAGUAGCGAGAUAUAUGUGAGAAUCAUAUAGGUCGAAUGUCUAAGGUUUCCUGGGUAAAGCUGAUCUGCUCAGGGUAAGUCGGGACCUAAGGUGAGGGCGAGAGCCGUAAUCGAUGGACAACAGGUAGAAAUUCCUGUACUACGUAUAAUCAGAACUGUGGGGACGCAGGAGGAUAGGAAAACCGGAGAAUGGAAAAAUCCGGCUAAGUACAAAGGUGUGAGUGAUAGGCAAAUCCGUCACUAUUAGCUGAAGUACGAAUGGGAGCGAAGAAAAGUAGCGAAGUUUCUGAAUCCACACUGUCAAGAAAAGCCGCUAUUGCGUUAUAUGUACCCGUACCGCAAACCGACACAGGUAGACGAGGAGAAAAUCCACAGACCGACGGGAGAAGUGUUGUUAAGGAACUCGGCAAAAUGACCCCGUAACUUAGGGAUAAGGGGAGCCAACGCAAGUUGGUCACAGAAAAGAGGCUCAAGCGACUGUUUAGCAAAAACAUAGGUCUAUGCGAAACCGUAAGGUGAUGUAUAUGGGCUGACACCUGCCCGGUGCUGGAAGGUCAAAAGGAGAGGUUAGCGCAAGCGAAGCCUUGAAUUCAAGCCCCAGUAAACGGCGGCCGUAACUAUAACGGUCCUAAGGUAGCGAAAUUCCUUGUCAGGUAAGUUCUGACCCGCACGAAAGGUGUAACGAUUUGAGCACUGUCUCGAC